RNAcentral lists this ribosomal RNA (280 nucleotides) under uncultured bacterium. RNAcentral describes it as "partial 16S ribosomal RNA". It matches the Rfam family "Bacterial small subunit ribosomal RNA", at positions 335 to 603 of the family's 1533-position model. The record is from RNAcentral.
ACUCCUACGGGAGGCAGCAGUGGGGAAUAUUGCACAAUGGGCGCAAGCCUGAUGCAGCCAUGCCGCGUGUAUGAAGAAGGCCUUCGGGUUGUAAAGUACUUUCAGCAGUGAGGAAGGCGGGUACGUUAAUAGUACGUGCUCGUUUGAUCGUUAGCUGCAGAAGAAGACACCGGCUAACUCCGUGCCAGCAGCCGCGGUAAUACGGAGGGUGCGAGCGUUAAUCGGAAUUACUGGGCGUAAAGCGCAUGCAGGUGGUUUGUUAAGUCAGAUGUGAAAGCCC